Molecule: long non-coding RNA, 359 nt
Organism: Macrosteles quadrilineatus (aster leafhopper)
Lineage: Eukaryota; Metazoa; Arthropoda; Insecta; Hemiptera; Cicadellidae
Exons: 3
Source: RefSeq, a predicted model, not a curated record
AGUCUCCAAGUGUCACUCAAGAAACAAAGGCAAGAUUUAACGAUUUAUUAAAAGCAGCUUUAUCCAAGGAAGCUGUUGAUCAACAAUCUGCUUUAUCAUCAACAAAGAAUCGUACAAAGAAACAGUCUGUGACUCCACAAGAAUCUAUCCCUCUUCAUAAAUUACCAGUUAGAAGCCGAAAAAAUGAAAACUUUGGAGGGAAAUUCAAUGCCUAUUCAUCAGAAGAAAGUCCACAGAACGAGAAAAGGCAAAUUAUCGCAGAAGUCCACACCUCUAGAACCCAGCUACUUCAGUCUAGCAGUGAUGACGACAUUUCGGCAGAGAAGAAAACGAAGAAGAAGAAAAAGAAGUUUAAAUUG